RNAcentral lists this ribosomal RNA (408 nucleotides) under uncultured bacterium. Its description in RNAcentral is "partial 16S ribosomal RNA". It matches the Rfam family "Bacterial small subunit ribosomal RNA", at positions 28 to 526 of the family's 1533-position model. The record is from RNAcentral.
GACGAACGCUGGCGGCGUGCUUAACACAUGCAAGUCGAACGAAGUGGCGGAAGGGUGAGUAACGCGUAAUCAACCUGCCCUUCAGAGGGGGACAACAGUUGGAAACGACUGCUAAUACCGCAUACUGAAGGAGGGGAUUGCGUCCGAUUAGCUAGUUGGCGGGGUAACGGCCCACCAAGGCGAUGAGCAGUAGCCGGUCUGAGAGGAUGAACGGCGACAAUGGGACUGAGACACGGCCCAGACUCCUACGGGAGGGAGCCGUGGGGAAUCUUGCGCAAUGGACGAAAGUCUGACGGAGCAACGCCGCGGGAGUGAUGACGGCCUUCGGGUUGUAAAGAUCUGUUAAUCGGGACGCGGUACCGGAAUAGAAAGCCACGGCUAACUACGUGCCAGCAGCCGCGGUAAUAC